This 277-nucleotide ribosomal RNA is filed under the name Chlamydomonas pulvinata. RNAcentral describes it as "partial small subunit ribosomal RNA". It matches the Rfam family "Eukaryotic small subunit ribosomal RNA", at positions 626 to 911 of the family's 1831-position model. Lineage: Eukaryota; Viridiplantae; Chlorophyta; Chlorophyceae; Chlamydomonadales; Chlamydomonadaceae. The record is from RNAcentral.
GCUCGUAGUUGGANUUCGGGUGGGUCUUUGCGGUCCGCCUCUGGUGAGUACUGCUAAGGCCCAUCUUUCUGUCGGGGACGGGCUCCUGGGCUUCACUGUCUGGGACUCGGAGUCGACGUUGUGACUUUGAGUAAAUUAGAGUGUUCAAAGCAAGCCUACGCUCUGAAUACAUUAGCAUGGAAUCACAUGAUAGGACUCUGGCCUAUCUUGUUGGUCUGUAGGACUGGAGUAAUGAUUAAGAGGGACAGUCGGGGGCAUUCGUAUUNNNUGUCAGAGA